GCACAAGCGGUGGAGCAUGUGGUUUAAUUCGACGCAACGCGCAGAACCUUACCAGCCCUUGACAUCCCGGUCGCGGUUUCCAGAGAUGGAUACCUUCAGUUCGGCUGGACCGGAGACAGGUGCUGCAUGGCUGUCGUCAGCUCGUGUCGUGAGAUGUUGGGUUAAGUCCCGCAACGAGCGCAACCCCCGUCUUUAGUUGCUACCAUUUAGUUGAGCACUCUAAAGAGACUGCCGGUGAUAAGCCGCGAGGAAGGUGGGGAUGACGUCAAGUCCUCAUGGCCCUUACGGGCUGGGCUACACACGUGCUACAUUGGCGCAUACAGAGGGCUGCGAUACCGCGAGGUGGAGCGAAUCCCUUAAAGUGCGUCUCGGUUCGGAUUGCAGGCUGAAAUUCGCCUGCAUGAAGGCGGAGUUGCUAGUAAUCGCGGAUCAGCAUUGCCGCGGUGAAUACGUUCCCGGGC
RNAcentral lists this ribosomal RNA (461 nucleotides) under uncultured bacterium. RNAcentral's name for it is "bacterial SSU rRNA". It matches the Rfam family "Bacterial small subunit ribosomal RNA", at positions 923 to 1379 of the family's 1533-position model. The record is from RNAcentral.